CCCAAACCAAGUCCGGUAGCAACGGCGUCCUGACCUGACCCGAGUGAACGGCUUCAAGAACAGCUGACAGCUUCCUCCCACAGACGGGCACCGCGGUGGGCGCGGCAGCACGCAAGCUCACAGAGCUCCAGCGGUGACUUGGGUGGCUCUGUGGCAACUGCCUGGCCAGCAGUCAAGCCAGUGAUGAAUUCUGCAGGAGGAAGAGAGCCCCUUCUCUCCCCAGUGCUACAGCUCAGCGGAACAGCCAGGCCCAGGGGUCUCUUCGCUGAAGCAGACCGUGUCUUCCCGGCUGAAAGGAAGCAGCAUUUUUGGUGGGGCCUGUUUUAAUCAGUCCUAACGUUGGUGGGCCGCAGCUACGAUGGGGAGAGAACGAGGAGAGCCUGCUUUUCCUUCCUGGCUGUUUUUAUUCCAGACAUCUACUGUGGCUCGUAGAGAGCAGUCUAUGUUUGAGCUCAGGGAGGAAGUCAUGCGGUCACCUAGGUGGCAGGGAAGCUCUUGGACUGGACACCAGCCCCGCCUCUUCUCAUCCAGCAAUAAAAGACUGCUUUUGUUGUGAAGCGACCCCCGCUGGUACUUGGAUCAGCUCCGGCUUCCGGCGCGGCUCCUUGUCACCCGGCAGGACGCGGAAGCACAGCAGCGUCAGCGCCAGCGCCACCUUCAUCUCGUUCAUGGCGAAAGUCUGUCCUAUGCAGUUCCUGCGGGAGGAAUAGAUGGGGACUCUGACUAAGCCCGGACCCAGCCAGUCUCUAAACUUUUACGCGGAACCGAAGUGGAGAGCAGGAAGGAAGUCCGGAAUGCUGACCAUUCCAACCACCUCCUGUCCUCAUGGCAGCCCCGGACAACAUCCUAACAUCCCAGGCUUCACCCUUGCCCUGAUGAGAAGGGAUUAAAAGCCAGAGGCGUCACAGUCAGUCCAAGGUCAUUUCUGCCACUAGUGACCAUCGUUCUACCCAUACCCUUCUCCCACACACUCUGAAGGGCACCUUUGGGGAUGACUCACCUUCCGGACCGAGAAUAUCCUGGGAGCAGCCACCGCGGGAGAUGAUGGUGACUGGGGGGUGCAGCCGCAGACUGCACAUGGUCAGGAAGGGCAGCCCAGCCAGGUCGUCCCUAAGGAGCACACCACACGAUUAUCCAGGAGCAAAAACAAAGCCCUACCCAACCUCGCUAUUGGGUAAGACUUAGCACCUCUCUCUGAUCCUUGGUCAUGUAAGAUGAAUUCCAAAUGGGUCAGGCAGAGUGGUCCGUACCUUUAAUCCCACCCAGCAUAGGGGAGAUAGAAGAAAGAACUCUGUGAUUCUGAAGCCAGCCUGGUCUACACAGACAGCCAGGGAUACAUAGUGAAUCAAUCAGCAGCAGUCCUCCCCCCUCCUCAACAAACUAACUAACUAACUGAAUAAAAUAUUGCUUUUGAGAUUUGGUCUCAUGCAAUCAAGGCUGCCUUCAACUCCUGCCCCUCCUGCCCCCACUUCCCAAGUGUUGAGAUUACAGACUUGAACUUCUGGGCUGGCUCUGGAUGGAAGAUCAUGCAUGAGGGGCUGGAGAGAUGCCUCAGUGCUGCUCCUUCACAGGACCUCGGGGUAAUUCCCAGCACCCAUAGAGCGGCUUACAGCAGUCUAUAUAGCCAUUUCCAGGAGAGAUGAUGCUUUCUUCUGGCCAUUGUGGGUGCCACGUGGCACACACGUAUGUACAGGCAGAAUGCCCAUAUGCCUAAACUUAAAAAGUAUCAUGGGGGCUGGAGAGAUGGCUCAAAGGUUAAGACCACAAACUAAUCAACUGAAAAAUGAGCUAAAUAUGGGUAUGGUGACAUUCUCCUAUAAUCCCAGCACUCAGGACGGGUAGGCAUGAGAAAAGAAGUUUGAGACCGGCUUAGGCUACAUAAAGAUAUUCUUACAGAAAAAAAAGAUAGAUAGAUAGAUAGAUAGAUAGAUAGAUAGAUAGAUAGAUAGAUAGAUAGAUAGAUAGAUAGAUAGAUAUGUAUAUAUAUGAGACAAAGAGAAGGGCUAAAGACCAUAAGGACCUGCACUCACCAUUCAAUCUCCUCAGGCUCUCGGUCCCUCAGGAGCUCCCGCACCUCCUGCCAGCAGCGCUCCUGGUAUUCCGGGUGCCUCGCCAGGCUGUACAGGAUCCAGGAGAGCCCACUGGCUGUGGUGUCCUGGCCUGCAGGCCAGAGAGGAAGGCUGUGCCUCUGGGUUGCUUCAGUGCCAUAAAGAGAGCACCCAGGAAAAAUAAUGAACCAAAAAGAUGGAAGGAAUAGAUGGAUCCAGGACCUUUCCCCCAAAUACCCAUGUCCUCAGGACUAACUGAUCCCAACCCUCCCUGUGGCUUCAUGGGACCUGUGUCCUCUGCUUGGUUGUCCCCAUCUGACAGCUCCUUUCUGUGUUCAUCCUGGAGACAACACGAGACCCUCAAUUCAUGCCACUCAGAGGGCUCCUGAGCCUGACCUGACACAGCUCUGCUACCCAUAGUGAACACAGAACUCCCUCCCACCUUGUUAUUUGCUUUUCCCGCACAGCAUUCAAUAAAAUCACCUCUAAAACUUA
Long non-coding RNA from Meriones unguiculatus (Mongolian gerbil), 2543 nucleotides. RefSeq lists it as uncharacterized. Lineage: Eukaryota; Metazoa; Chordata; Mammalia; Rodentia; Muridae. The record is from RefSeq and is a predicted model, not a curated record. The transcript has 5 exons.